AUUGAACGCUGGCGGCAGGCUUAACACAUGCAAGUCGAGCGGAGAUGAGGUGCUUGCACCUUAUCUUAGCGGCGGACGGGUGAGUAAUGCUUAGGAAUCUGCCUAUUAGUGGGGGACAACAUUCCGAAAGGAAUGCUAAUACCGCAUACGUCCUACGGGAGAAAGCAGGGGAUCUUCGGACCUUGCGCUAAUAGAUGAGCCUAAGUCGGAGUAGUUAGUUGGUGGGGUAAAGGCCUACCAAGGCGACGAUCUGUAGCGGGUCUGAGAGGAUGAUCCGCCACACUGGGACUGAGACACGGCCCAGACUCCUGCGGGAGGUAGCCGUGGGGAAUAUUUGACAAUGGGGGAAACCCUGAUCCAGCCAUGCCGCGUGUGGGAAGAAGGCCUUAUGGUUGUAAAGCACUCUAAGCGAGGAGGAGGCUACUGAGACUAAUACUCUUGGAUAGUGGACGUUACUCGCAGAAUAAGCACCGGCUAACUCUGUGCCAGCAGCCGCCGUAA
This 501-nucleotide ribosomal RNA is filed under the name uncultured bacterium. RNAcentral's name for it is "partial 16S ribosomal RNA". It matches the Rfam family "Bacterial small subunit ribosomal RNA", at positions 30 to 523 of the family's 1533-position model. The record is from RNAcentral.